RNAcentral lists this ribosomal RNA (459 nucleotides) under uncultured bacterium. RNAcentral describes it as "partial 16S ribosomal RNA". It matches the Rfam family "Bacterial small subunit ribosomal RNA", at positions 338 to 795 of the family's 1533-position model. The record is from RNAcentral.
CCUACGGGGGGCAGCAGUGAGGAAUAUUGGUCAAUGGGCGGGAGCCUGAACCAGCCAAGUCGCGUGAGGGACGACGGUCCUAUGGAUUGUAAACCUCUUUUGUCGGGGAACAAAGGCGCCCACGGGUGGGCGGAUGAGUGUACCCGAAGAAAAAGCAUCGGCUAACUCCGUGCCAGCAGCCGCGGUAAUACGGAGGAUGCGAGCGUUAUCCGGAUUUAUUGGGUUUAAAGGGUGCGCAGGCGGGCUGUUAAGACGGCGGUAAAAAUUCAGGGCUCAACCCUGUCGAGCCGUCGGAACUGGCAGUCUUGAGUGGGCGAGAAGUAUGCGGAAUGCGUGGUGUAGCGGUGAAAUGCAUAGAUAUCACGCAGAACGCCGAUUGCGAAGGCAGCAUACCGGCGCCCAACUGACGCUGAGGCACGAAAGCGUGGGGAUCGAACAGGAUUAGAUACCCCGGUAGUC